This is a long non-coding RNA of Strigops habroptila (Kakapo), 2771 nucleotides long. NCBI's taxonomy places the organism in Eukaryota, Metazoa, Chordata, Aves, Psittaciformes, Psittacidae. The record is from Ensembl.
CAGCUGUUGAGUUUUAGACAUAUUGCCAGGACAACCUGCAACUGCAGUUGUGCACUGCUGGUAUUUCAAAGUAUUUAAAUGUAAAAUAGAUGGAAAAUUGGUUAUGGAAAUUAUUUCAAUGUGAAAUAUGGUGAUUUAUUGGGAUAAACUGCAAAAUAAAGACCAGGCAGUGUUAUAAGAAUGGAGAAUAUCACAUUCGUUACAGCCACAAUUAGUGAUUACAAGUGUUCUACCAUGAAUAUUUUUGGGGGAAGCAGGACACAGGGGCAUUCCCCACUCCUCCAUGUCUUUGCUCACUUUUAGACACAGAGCAGCUUCUCCAGGAAGCCACUAUGGUGCUCUCUUCAGCCUCACUCCACAAUGGCUCUGUUGCCUUUUGGAUUAAUUUAUACGGAAGUAGGCUUCAGUCUACCCAAGAAGCAGUUUAUUCAAUACAGUCUCCUUCCUCAGUGAUGAUUUGGCCAUUGCACUAAAUAAUACUCUGUUAGCCAGCUUUAGGCUCCCCCAUUUUUUCCAGAUCAAGCUGUCUGGCAUAUUUGGCCCAUGUUUGUAAUGAGUUGGAAACUCCCUAAUCUGCUUGGAUUUGGCAAGCAUAUUAUUUAUCAGAAAUAUCCUGUGGUAUACUAGUUUUUCUAUCAAUGGGGGGAACAAGAUCCGGAAGCACUAACUCCAUUCAUAGAUUAAUAGACGUCUUCCAAGAAAAGCAUCAGUAUCAGAAUAGAGAACAUGAACAUGUGAAGAAGGGCUGAUAUUUGUGAGAGCUGACGUUAUACUGUGAGACAGCAAAUUUAUAACUGCAAAGUAUCCGAAAGCCCUAGUGGGAAAGCAUUUCAAUUAACAUACAUGGCUGAGUAACAUACAGUGCUGAGAUUAAUGUAAAUUAGGAAACCUGCUCAUUUCUGAACAGUUAAUCUGCCUUAAACAAGAAAACAUGUAGUUGAGUCCUAGAGAUGGAAAGUCAAAUUUCUCCCUUUGUGACACAAAUUCCCAUUGAUUUCAUCAUAUUGCAAAUCAAUAACAAAGAGGAGAACUUCACUGUAGGAAUGCAGCUUUUUGAGAUAUUUUCCUUGUUAAGGGUAGAUUAGCAGGUCAAAAAGCAGAGCUAUGUUUUGAUCUUCAUAUUUUUAGCUGACUUUUUAUGUGUUAAUCGGACUGCUGUUCGUUACUGUAAGUCCCUUGGGUGUUACCUUGACUUACUCUGUUCUUUAAACCCUUUUUAAAACUUCAGUAAAAUCUUGGAACAUUUACUGUACUACAGCCACAGUGGGGGUUGUUUGCUCGGACAGGUAGGCUUUCAGCUAAGUGUUCAUUCAUGGAACUGAAUUAAGCAAGUUUUAAGAUCAAAUUCAAUCAUCUAGUUUGAAGACCUGCAGCAGGAGCACCCAGGGUGCUCUGCUCCCACUCACCCCCUGCUUGUCACAGCCUGGAGCCCAAAUAUUUUUUCCCAUUUAUGUCCCAGAUCCUGAAAUCAACUCAGACCUCUUACAGGUGAUCAUUUGCUGGGUUAUGUACUCAUAUUGCCAUAGCUCUAGAUAAAGGUUUUUUGAUUCCAGCAAAGCUGUGGGUCAGCUUGGAGGUCACGUACUUGGAGGACCCCUGCACCCUAUUUCUGAGCAGGCUUAGUUUUCACACACAUUGUGUCAUUAGCUGCUAUCACAUGAAUAUUGACUAGGUUUCAGAUGUAAAUAUUAUUUUGUUUUGAUUUUUAUGCCCAUAAAUGCAUAGGAUGCGAACCACAGAGAGGGCUGCAGCUUGCCCAGGUCCAUGGCAUGGCAUGUGCUGGUCUCGGGGAUACAUCUUAGCCCUGCUGCUGCUCUGACCCAACAGCAGCUUUGUUACAAUGCUCUCAGGACAAUAUUUUAAGAUCCCAUGAAAUGGGAUGCAGAAGAUCAGCCUUUAAGAUUUAGUCAUAAAGUGCUCUUUUGAGGACAAAGACUUCAGUAACAGGAGUCUUUUCCCCCAAAAUUACUGUUUACAUUGACAGAUAGUUUACAAGAGGAUUACUGUUCUCGGUAGCUUGCUUGUGUUUGCUGUUCCUAUAUCUGAUCUGGAAGUGCUCUUGCAUAUUUGGGAUUGGUAGUGUUUUGUCUAGAAGAAGUAAGUUUCAGGCAAAGGAAUGAGAUGAAAAAUUGCUUUGUUCUUUGCUUCCUUCAGGCUCUCAGCUGACAGUAUGUGUUGUCAGAUAGAAAUAAAAGUGCGGUGUUACAAUUUUCUGUCUGUGGUAUGUAUGUCUUAAUGUAUACCAUAUGGCUGGGGGGCAAUGCACCAGAUUUUUUCUCAUGAGUGAUUUUUUCUUGCUAGAGUUAAAAGCAGUAAUAUGGAAAUGAAUGAGCAAAAUAAUUUGCUUUCCCUCUGGGCUUGUUGGCUGUGAUUAUUCUUGCUUAUUUUGGUGUGUAAAGUUUUGUAUGUAGCUUUUGUUUCCUGAAAGUUUUGCUGCUCUUCAUGUUUGCUAGCUUGUAACGUGUUUUCUGAGGAGUUUUCUUUUUCAUGGAUACCAUUCUGCUUUUAGUGGGCAGAGAUUCAGACUGAUGGGCAUGCUGCCCUUCUCUUUAGUAGCUGUUUAGUGAAACACUCUCAACAUUAUAAUCCGUUGCUGAUCAGUGCGGGAGAUGUAGUAUGAAGUUGCCAGGAGUGGGACUAUUGAAUUAUUGAAGAUAGAACAGGAGGCAAAGUAAACGAUUGUCCAUUUCACAAGGAAAAGGGAACAACUGCCAGACUUUGCAGUGAUCAAGUUCCAGUUUUCUGUUGUUAAAGAUAAAAAAAAAAAAAAA